RNAcentral lists this ribosomal RNA (497 nucleotides) under uncultured bacterium. RNAcentral describes it as "partial 16S ribosomal RNA". It matches the Rfam family "Bacterial small subunit ribosomal RNA", at positions 28 to 507 of the family's 1533-position model. The record is from RNAcentral.
GAUGAACGCUGGCGGCGUGCCUAAUACAUGCAAGUCGAGCGAACAGACGAGGAGCUUGCUCCUCUGACGUUAGCGGCGGACGGGUGAGUAACACGUGGAUAACCUACCUAUAAGACUGGGAUAACUUCGGGAAACCGGAGCUAAUACUGGAUAAUAUAUUGAACCGCAUGGUUCAAUAGUGAAAGACGGUUUUGCUGUCACUUAUAGAUGGAUCCGCGCCGCAUUAGCUAGUUGGUAAGGUAACGGCUUACCAAGGCAACGAUGCGUAGCCGACCUGAGAGGGUGAUCGGCCACACUGGAACUGAGACACGGUCCAGACUCCUACGGGAGGCAGCAGUGGGGAAUCUUCCGCAAUGGGCGAAAGCCUGACGGAGCAACGCCGCGUGAGUGAUGAAGGUCUUCGGAUCGUAAAACUCUGUUAUUAGGGAAGAACAAAUGUGUAAGUAACUAUGCACGUCUUGACGGUACCUAAUCAGAAAGCCACGGCUAACUACGUG